CAAAAUUCUCUUGGAUCUACAAGUCUCUCUUCUCUUCUCUCUCUUUUGGUUCAAGCAAAGAGAAGAACUCUCUUCUUCUUGUUUGGAGUCUCACGGAGGGUGGUGUGAAAAACAAGAAAGAAUUCUUUCCCUUUGAAACGAAGAUCCUCUCCUACUUCCCUCACUCGGCCAACAGGAUAAGUUCUCUCCAUUUCUCUCUUUCUCUUUCUCUUUCUCUCGGGUGCCUUGCAACAAAGAAGAAAGAAGGAUCUCAUCUCUCUCGGGUUUUGAUUAAGUGAACGCUUGUUCGUAAAUACUUUCUGAAGGAAGAACG
Alnus glutinosa is the source of this 313-nucleotide long non-coding RNA. RefSeq lists it as uncharacterized. The transcript is spliced from 3 exons. The record is from RefSeq and is a predicted model, not a curated record. Lineage: Eukaryota; Viridiplantae; Streptophyta; Magnoliopsida; Fagales; Betulaceae.